GCCCUCACUGGCUCAGAUGGACAGAGCGUCUGCCAUGUAAGCAGGAGAUCCCGGGUUCGAGUCCCGGUUGAGGCA
Molecule: non-coding RNA, 75 nt
Organism: Schistocerca americana (American grasshopper)
Lineage: Eukaryota; Metazoa; Arthropoda; Insecta; Orthoptera; Acrididae
Source: the annotation of a RefSeq genome assembly